RNAcentral lists this long non-coding RNA (1474 nucleotides) under Homo sapiens (human). RNAcentral describes it as "HSALNT0350843". Lineage: Eukaryota; Metazoa; Chordata; Mammalia; Primates; Hominidae. The record is from RNAcentral.
CGGGGGCGCUGUGGGGAGGACACGCCGGUCCGCGCUCAGCAUCCGGGCCUGAGACCCAGCGCCCCCGGCUUCCGCGGCCUCCGCGCUCCCUCCGCGUUAACUCAUCGCCCUGUCGCGCCCGCUUCUCCAGCGGGUUCGGCGGUCGGGGGAGGACAGUGAUCGAGUUCGAAGUUCGGAGGGUCUCUGCGUCUCUGGGGUUUCUAUCACUGCUCCUUCCAGCCCUCAAGCGGCUACUCCGAAGAAUGACGAAGGGCCCUACUUGCGUAGAUUCGUGGGAUGAUUUUACCAAGAAGGAAAAGGGGGAAAAGAAAUCACAAUUAUUGAGGGUCCAGCCUUGGUCAGAUUCCGUGUCAGACCCUUCCAACUUGACAUUAUUGACUCUUCACAACUCUUCAUUUUGUAGUCCAGGAAGCAGGCUCCGAGAGACUGCCUAGAAAAAACAGCACCCGGAUCUGAAUUCGAGGCCGUCCCACACCCAUCCCGGUACGGUUCCCAGCAGAACUGAGCUGGAGUGGCCCUGAUGCAAAUGAACUUAGAUCCCAGCUGCUUGUGAUGGAAGCCAAUCCCAGCUUUCCCAAGCUUACAGGUUUUUUCCAGAAGAAGCCAACUUGAUCUCCCGGAACACGAAUUCAGCAGGCUCUCAUCUCAGAACUGCCUCCAAUCCAUCCCAUACCCCUUCACACUUCAGUCCUUGGUAUUUUCUCCGAUCACACCUUCCACUCCUCCUUCAUAUUUGCAAGUCUCUCCCUGCAGAAUCUGCCCCGAGGAGCAAAGGACAUUUUUCCAUGGGGAACAGAAUUUUAGAAUUUCCCUUUGUACCCAGUGAGAAAGACUAAAGUUUGGUAUAGGAAAUAACCCAAAGACAAAUCUAUACACUGCAUAGAACACAGGAAGCCUGGGCUCUGAAAACAUAAAAGACACCAAAUCAUUCCUGGAGCACUUGUGAAGUUUUGGAAAAUUCCUUUAACCUCUCUAAACCUCAGUCUCCUCAUUUGUAAAAUGAACAUAAUAAAUAUUUUUUCUUGCCUAUGUCAAUGGCUUCCUGAUUUCCAAAUGAAAAAAAAAGCAAUUGGAAUUCUUUGAAAAUAAGAAAGCAUUUAAAGCAUAAGGUAUGAAUGAGACUUCUUUUCUUACUUAGUUUGCUUUCUAAUCAGGAACCUCACUCCCUGAGUAACAAGUUGGUAAGAUCAAAUAAGACAAGUCUGGGAAAGGCCACAAAGGGAAAUAUGGGUGCUGGUUUAUUAAUUAUUGUUCAAGCAAUACCCUUUUCUAAAAUGAAGCUGCCAUUAUGUUCCCUUCAUCAGCCAUAUAAGAAAUCCAGUGCCUAACCUCCCUUGUGGCCAGUGAGGAACAAAGCUCUGGAAUUUUUACACAGAUUUCUAUUUCCCUGUGGAAGCACUGGAAAGGAAAUGUCAUUCUCACUUUGAAGAGGAAGAGGGAUGCAGCAAGCUUCCCAGGCAUGCAGAAAACUCUA